This 463-nucleotide ribosomal RNA is filed under the name uncultured bacterium. RNAcentral describes it as "partial 16S ribosomal RNA". It matches the Rfam family "Bacterial small subunit ribosomal RNA", at positions 28 to 507 of the family's 1533-position model. The record is from RNAcentral.
GACGAACGCUGGCGGCGUGCUUAACACAUGCAAGUCGAACGGAAAGGCCUUUUCGGCGGUACUCGAGUGGCGAACGGGUGCGUAACACGUGGGUGAUCUGCCCUGCACUCUGGGAUAAGCCUGGGAAACUGGGUCUAAUACCGGAUAGGACCGCACUUUAGUGUGUGUGGUGGAAAGUUUUUUCGGUGUAGGAUGAGCCCGCGGCCUAUCAGCUUGUUGGUGGGGUAAUGGCCUACCAAGGCGGCGACGGGUAGCCGGACUGAGAGGUUGGUCGGCCACAUUGGGACUGAGAUACGGCCCAGACGCCUACGGGAGGCAGAAGUGGGGAAUACUGCACAAUGGGCGCAAGCCUGAUGCAGCGACGCCGCGUGGGGGAUGACGGCCUUCGGGUUGUAAACUCCUUUCGCCAGGGACGAAGCGUUUUGUGACGGUACCUGGAGAAGAAGCACCGGCUAACUACGUG